ACCUAUGUAAUUAUACUAAUGAUAAUUAAUGCUCAGGUUUCUUCAAUUUUAUCUAGACGAACUUCCACAUUCUCUAAUGAUAUUAUCCUUGAAAGACAAUCCUUGUGCAAACAAGGAGGACCAUAGGUAACAUAUACGUAAUGUAGUAGGUAUAAUAUACACUUAAAUAUCUGCUUCCGAGUUAAAUAGUUUUGUUUUGGACUCUCAGUGUUUCCCGUGACUAAGUCGAGACCAUUUUUUUCCUGAGGGAACAGACAUUAAUUGUUAUAUAACGACGAAUGAAAAAUCAACAACAUUUUACAUGUGAAAGAAAAAUAACGCCGUGAGGAUAAGAUUUUUAUUUCACUCUUCUACUGUUCUGGGAAUCUCAAUAGUUAUAGAAUAAACUGGUAUAUAGACUGGAGUGGUAGGGCUUCGGUGGCGAAGUCGUCAGAGCAAGAGCAUUUCACCUCUGAGAUAGUGGGUUCGAUUCUCGCUACGAACUCGUGUGAAACGAGUCUGUCAACGUUCUGUCGAAAGUCGUGGGUUGUCUCCGGGCCCUCCGAUUUCCUCCCACACGGCAAGGUGGCAGGCAACCUCGUACCCAGGCUCUUACCUUCGCACCCUGGGUACGAGGUUGGUUGGCAGAGUGCGUUAGGAUAAAACGCAGUUAGGAAAGUAAUAUCACAAUUAAGUUCUUUGAAUGUUUGCAUGGCGAUAAAAUAUAAUUGUUUUUGUUUGUGGAAACACCACGUAAAUUUAUUACUGCAAAGCUUUCGAUCCGUAAGCCCGGAUCUUCAUCAGUGCUAAUAAAAAUUAAAAAAAGUUAAAAAUAAAAAAUUAAAUUCAACAAGUCACAUAUUAUUAGCACUGAUGAAGAUCCGGGCUUACGGAUCGAAAGCUUUGCAGUAAUAAAUUUAUACGUGGUGUUUCCACAAACAAGAACAAUUAAUAUCACAAUUGUUGUAAAGAUAAAAAGUCUUGAGCUAAGUAAGUAACAUAUAUAAAUAUAAGCGCCAUACUCGAUGUAAUCGUAAUGUUCGGGAAUUGCAUCAUUUACAUAAAUCGGAGAAGUGAAAACUUGGAGCAUUAAAGACUUUUCCACUGCAAGCGUAUCGUAAAGUAUCGUAGCAUUUUCUUUUAUGUCGAAGUCAUCAGUUCCACUCUAGGACUCAGGAAACAAAUACGCUACGCUUCGCCACGACAGGAUUGAUGUGAAAAAGGCCUUAAGAAACGUCGAAAUUCUGCUUGAAGUGAAAUCUUCUAUUUAUCGACAGAAUUUGUAAACACGACCCUGUUAGCCUAUACUUAUCUUCGGCUUAAUAUUAAAAAGUGAAAAUUAUGUAAUAUCUAAUUAUUAUAGAAGCAGAAUUACUCAAGUAUUGGUCAAUUUGAAAGAGCUGGACGGGAUUCCGGUCGAUCAGACAGAUGAUGAUCAUGAUGACGAUGUUUACAG
Molecule: non-coding RNA, 1435 nt
Organism: Paramuricea clavata
Lineage: Eukaryota; Metazoa; Cnidaria; Anthozoa; Malacalcyonacea; Plexauridae
Source: the annotation of a GenBank genome assembly